Molecule: long non-coding RNA, 727 nt
Organism: Mus musculus (house mouse)
Lineage: Eukaryota; Metazoa; Chordata; Mammalia; Rodentia; Muridae
Product: RIKEN cDNA 4921513H07 gene
Exons: 2
Source: RefSeq, marked validated
AGAAAUGUGACUUGGCCCUUUAGCUCAAGCCUCUCCUCUCAGCCUUUCUCAGCCAUCUAUCUGCCUUUGACAUACACAGUGACCGUUUAGACUGUCAAGAGGAUCUGGAAGCAGGGAGUGAUUGGGGGACAUGCUGCAGAGAGUCCUUGCCACCCCCCCCCCCCCACACACACACGGCACUCUCCGCCUUUAUGAUACCUCUGGGUGGGCGUCAGGGAGAAUCCCAGCCAUGGAAGACAGCUUAGAUCUACCUGGAAAGCGUCCAUUCCAGGAGAAGACAGUCCUUGGCUACGGCGAACUGGAGAUGUACUUGGAUUCCGUGGAUACAGAUCACAGAAGGACUUGGAAAGAUCAAAACCUGUUGUCCAGCAUUUGGGAACACUUGGGACUCUGGAAAGGUGGCCACUGAAAAGCACCACAGGUCUUAAUGGCUCCCCGGAAUCUUCUUAGCACUGAGAAGCUCGAGCUAUGGACACUCCUUUCAGACAGGCUUGCGACUGUGAUGUCAUGGAUCUUCUGCCUCUAGAUCCUGAUCUCAGUUUUGAGUGCAGUGUAUGCUUUUGCAUAUGACUUUAGGGCAGAUAGGGAUGCAAGGUGGAGUUUUUGUCUUUUGAGGAUUCAGGCUUUACCUCUAGAUAUUAGUGUGGUUAAGAUUUGAAAAUCUAUAGUAAGACAAUAUUACUUUGGGGAAACCAUCACAUGGAAAUAAAGGCUCCCAUUCUCGUGG